RNAcentral lists this ribosomal RNA (229 nucleotides) under uncultured bacterium. RNAcentral's name for it is "partial 16S ribosomal RNA". It matches the Rfam family "Bacterial small subunit ribosomal RNA", at positions 568 to 796 of the family's 1533-position model. The record is from RNAcentral.
CGCGUAGGCGGUCUUUUAAGUCAGAUGUGAAAGCCCGGGGCUCAACCCCGGAAGUGCAUUUGAAACUAAGAGACUUGAGUAUGGGAGAGGGAAGUGGAAUUCCUGGUGUAGAGGUGAAAUUCGUAGAUAUCAGGAGGAACACCGGUGGCGAAGGCGACUUCCUGGACCAAUACUGACGCUGAGGCGCGAAGGCGUGGGGAGCAAACAGGAUUAGAUACCCUGGUAGUCC